This 388-nucleotide ribosomal RNA is filed under the name uncultured bacterium. RNAcentral describes it as "bacterial SSU rRNA". It matches the Rfam family "Bacterial small subunit ribosomal RNA", at positions 28 to 417 of the family's 1533-position model. The record is from RNAcentral.
GACGAACGCUGGCGGCGUGCUUAACACAUGCAAGUCGAGCGGUAAGGCCCUUUCGGGGGUACACGCGCGGCGAACGGGUGAGUAACACGUGGGUGACCUGCCCUCAGCUCUGGGAUAAGCCUGGGAAACCGGGUCUAAUACUGGAUAUGACUCCAUGACGCAUGUUGUGGGGUGGAAAGCCUUGUGCGGCUGAGGAUGGGCCCGCGGCCUAUCAGCUUGUUGGUGGGGUGANGGCCUACCAAGGCGACGACGGGUAGCCGGCCUGAGAGGGCGACCGGCCACACUGGGACUGAGACACGGCCCAGACUCCUACGGGAGGCAGCAGUGGGGAAUCUUGCGCAAUGGGCGAAAGCCUGACGCAGCGACGCCGCGUGAGGGAUGACGGCCU